GUUGAUGGCCGCAAGCAAGGUUGCUUUGGUCCAGUUGCCAGCGGAUGCGCUGGUAAGCAUGGCCUUGCGCUUCGCCGCGCUGGCCUUGACGGCAUCAAACGCCGCUAUCACGUCGCGAUCAUCCGCCAACUUGCAAGGUGUGGCAGUUGUGGCGGACGGCGCGGGCAGCUUGUUCGGUGGUGCGGCAGUGGCGGGCGAUGGGU
Molecule: ribosomal RNA, 203 nt
Filed under: uncultured eukaryote
Lineage: Eukaryota
Description: partial small subunit ribosomal RNA
Source: RNAcentral